RNAcentral lists this ribosomal RNA (433 nucleotides) under uncultured bacterium. RNAcentral describes it as "partial 16S ribosomal RNA". It matches the Rfam family "Bacterial small subunit ribosomal RNA", at positions 29 to 507 of the family's 1533-position model. The record is from RNAcentral.
AACGAACGCUGGCGGCAUGCCUAACACAUGCAAGUCGAACGAGACCUUCGGGUCUAGUGGCGCACGGGUGCGUAACGCGUGGGAACCUGCCCUUAGGUUCGGAAUAACUCCCCGAAAGGGGUGCUAAUACCGGAUAAUGUCUUCGGACCAAAGAUUUAUCGCCUUUGGAUGGGCCCGCGUUGGAUUAGCUAGUUGGUAGGGUAAAAGCCUACCAAGGCGACGAUCCAUAGCUGGUCUGAGAGGAUGAUCAGCCACACUGGGACUGAGACACGGCCCAGACUCCUACGGGAAGCAGCAGUGGGGAAUAUUGGACAAUGGGCGAAAGCCUGAUCCAGCAAUGCCGCGUGAGUGAUGAAGGCCUUAGGGUUGUAAAGCUCUUUUACACGGGAUGAUAAUGACAGUACCGGGAGAAUAAGCUCCGGCUAACUCCGUG